CAGCCGGACCGGACGGCCGCUUCUUGCGUCUUCGGAUGCGAGGAGAGGAAAGUCCGAACUCCGCAGAGCAGUGUGCCGGAUAACGUCCGGGACGCCAGGUUCAAGCCUGGCGGACGGAAAGUGCCACAGAAAACAUACCGCCCCGGAAACGGGGUAAGGGUGAAAAGGUGCGGUAAGAGCGCACCGCCGCGGCAGUAAUGUCGCGGGCAGGGCAAACCCCACACGGAGCAAGACCAAAUAGGGAGGAAGCUCGCGGCUUCGGCUGCGAGCACGUGCUGGCUCGGUGCGUCAAACCUUCGGGUAGGUCGCUAGAGCCGCGCAGCAAUGCACGGCCCAGAGGAAUGGUCGUCCCGCAACAGCAAUGUUGCGGACAAAAUUCGGCUUACAGGUCCGGCUGCCAC
This 401-nucleotide RNase P RNA is filed under the name Terriglobia bacterium. Its description in RNAcentral is "RNase P RNA component class A". It matches the Rfam family "Bacterial RNase P class A". From Rfam's summary of the family: Ribonuclease P (RNase P) is a ubiquitous endoribonuclease, found in archaea, bacteria and eukarya as well as chloroplasts and mitochondria. The record is from RNAcentral. Lineage: Bacteria; Pseudomonadati; Acidobacteriota; Terriglobia.